RNAcentral lists this ribosomal RNA (465 nucleotides) under uncultured bacterium. RNAcentral's name for it is "partial 16S ribosomal RNA". It matches the Rfam family "Bacterial small subunit ribosomal RNA", at positions 338 to 795 of the family's 1533-position model. The record is from RNAcentral.
CCUACGGGCGGCAGCAGUGGGGAAUUUUGCGCAAUGCUCGAAAGAGUGACGCAGCGACGCCGCGUGAAUGACGAAGGCCCUCGGGUCGUAAAGCUCUUUCGACAGGGAAGAAAAUGCCUAUAAGUAACUGUGUAUGUAUUGACGGUACCCGUAUAAGCAGCCCCGGCUAACGCCGUGCCCGCAGCCGCGGUAGUACGCAGGGGGCGUGCGUUGUUCGGAGUGACUGGGCGUAAAGAGCACGUAGGCGGUGGUGUAAGUCAUUAGUCAAAGACUAGAGCUCAACCUUAGUAAGGCUAGUGAUACUGUAAGACUAGAGUAUCAGAGAGGAUUGCAGAAUUCCUGGUGGAGCGGUGAAAUGCGUAGAUAUCAGGAAGAAUACCGUUAGCGAAGGCAGCAAUCUGGCUGGAAACUGACGCUGAGGUGCGAAAGCGUGGGUAGCGAACAGGAUUAGAUACCCCAGUAGUC